Molecule: unclassified non-coding RNA, 91 nt
Filed under: Pseudomonas lini
Lineage: Bacteria; Pseudomonadati; Pseudomonadota; Gammaproteobacteria; Pseudomonadales; Pseudomonadaceae
Source: RNAcentral
UGUGGGAGCGGGCUUGCUCGCGAAAGCCGGUGGCUCAGUCGACAUCAAUGUUGAAUGUCAGUCCGCAUUCGCGAGCAAGCCCGCUCCCACA